This 279-nucleotide ribosomal RNA is filed under the name uncultured bacterium. Its description in RNAcentral is "partial 16S ribosomal RNA". It matches the Rfam family "Bacterial small subunit ribosomal RNA", at positions 506 to 784 of the family's 1533-position model. The record is from RNAcentral.
UGCCAGCCGCCGCGGUAAUACAGAGGGUGCGAGCGUUAAUCGGAAUUACUGGGCGUAAAGGGCGCGUAGGUGGAAUUUUAAGUUGGAUGUGAAACACUCGGGCUCAACCUGGGUCUUGUAUUCAAAACUGGGAUUCUAGAGUACAGUAGAGGGAAGCGGAAUUUCCGGUGUAGCGGUGAAAUGCGUAGAUAUCGGAAGGAACAUCAGUGGCGAAGGCGGCUUCCUGGACUGAUACUGACACUGAGGCGCGAAAGCGUGGGGAGCAAACAGGAUUAGAUA